CUGGUUGAUCCUGCCAGUAGUCAUAUGCUUGUCUCAAAAGAUUAAGCCAUGCAUGUCUCAGUAUAAUUUACUUACGGUGAAACUGCGAAUGGCUCAUUAAAACAGUUAUAGUUUAUAUGAUGGCCACUCAAUACUUGGAUAACUGUACUAAUUCUAGAGCUAAUACAUGCUGUCAGACCCGACUUUGAGGGAGGGUUGUGCUUAUUAGAUACUGAACCAGCCCACUUCGGUGGUUCUAGUUGAUUCAUAGUAUUCCAGCGCAUCGCCACACGCGACGAAUCAUUCAAGUUUCUGACCUAUCAGCCUCUCGAUGGUAAGGUAUUGGCUUACCAUGGCUUUGACGGGUAACGGAGAAUUCGGGUUCGAUUCCGGAGAGGAGCCUGAGAAACGGCUACCACAUCUAAGGAAGGCAGCAGGCGCGUAAAUUACCUAAUCCUGACACAGGGAGGUAAGUGACAA
RNAcentral lists this ribosomal RNA (459 nucleotides) under uncultured eukaryote. Its description in RNAcentral is "SSU rRNA". It matches the Rfam family "Eukaryotic small subunit ribosomal RNA", at positions 4 to 473 of the family's 1831-position model. The record is from RNAcentral.